CCGACACACACUCCGCCCGACACACACACUCCCGCACACACAGAUCCUUGCAAGAGCGAAGGAUCUCACUUCUGUACCUCCUCAGAAGAAAAAGGAAGAAAACUGCUCCAGUCUUCAGCUGUGUAAGCCUUCAGAGAGAUAAACAGGGCUGCCCCUUCCUCCUCUGUAAAGACGUGGGAAGCCAGGAAUGGCGCGCAUGUGAAUGAAUCCACCUGCUCUGAUGCUGCAGGCAGUGAGGUUCUGAGUGUGAAUCCUGGGAAAUGGCGUCCAGGCAGAGGCCACGUGGGCGAGGGCCACUCUGUCGCUCUGAGGAGCUCGUGAAAGCUACUGUGUGAAUGAUGUGGCUCCCCCUCCACGCGGGAAACUGUGAGGGGCGCCUGACCACGCCGUGACAAACCAGGUGGUGGUGGGAGGCACCGUCCAGGUGUGUUGCCAUGGUGUCAGCCUGUGUCCUGCACACCAAGAAGUCACCAGAGGGCAUUCUGCUCCUUGAGGAGGUGCGCCUGUGGUCGGCACUGUGCUCUGGGCGCUUUAACUUCAUGAUUCAAGGUCACUCAAGUGAGAACUACAACCUUGGGAAAUGGACUGAGAUUGUCCACCUCCUGCCCUGUGGACUUCGCAGCAAUCUGAAAGGAAUGGCGUCGCAGCCUCCACCUUUCCCAUUGGAGUCUCCACAACCCCACCCCACCAACUUCAUCCAACCUGGCC
Molecule: long non-coding RNA, 708 nt
Filed under: Heterocephalus glaber (naked mole-rat)
Lineage: Eukaryota; Metazoa; Chordata; Mammalia; Rodentia; Bathyergidae
Description: lncRNA (ENSHGLG00000046572.1)
Source: RNAcentral